Molecule: ribosomal RNA, 496 nt
Filed under: uncultured Streptococcus sp.
Lineage: Bacteria; Bacillati; Bacillota; Bacilli; Lactobacillales; Streptococcaceae
Description: bacterial SSU rRNA
Rfam family: Bacterial small subunit ribosomal RNA
Source: RNAcentral
GACGAACGCUGGCGGCGUGCCUAAUACAUGCAAGUAGAACGCUGAAGGAGGAGCUUGCUUCUCUGGAUGAGUUGCGAACGGGUGAGUAACGCGUAGGUAACCUGCCUGGUAGCGGGGGAUAACUAUUGGAAACGAUAGCUAAUACCGCAUAAGAGUAGAUGUUGCAUGACAUUUGCUUAAAAGGUGCAAUUGCAUCACUACCAGAUGGACCUGCGUUGUAUUGGCUAGUUGGUGAGGUAACGGCUCACCAAGGCAACGAUACAUAGCCGACCUGAGAGGGUGAUCGGCCACACUGGGACUGAGACACGGCCCAGACUCCUACGGGAGGCAGCAGUAGGGAAUCUUCGGCAAUGGACGGAAGUCUGACCGAGCAACGCCGCGUGAGUGAAGAAGGUUUUCGGAUCGUAAAGCUCUGUUGUAAGAGAAGAACGAGUGUGAGAGUGGAAAGUUCACACUGUGACGGUAUCUUACCAGAAAGGGACGGCUAACUACGUGC